RNAcentral lists this ribosomal RNA (1881 nucleotides) under Triticum aestivum (bread wheat). RNAcentral's name for it is "partial small subunit ribosomal RNA". The record is from RNAcentral. Lineage: Eukaryota; Viridiplantae; Streptophyta; Magnoliopsida; Poales; Poaceae.
UUUUUUGUAUGUGCUACUCCGACAGCAGUUCGACCCAAAGAAGAGAGGGGGUAAGGAGAGAGGCCAGAGGUCGGUUUCUUCGGAAGGGCUAGACUUGCGGCCGGUGGUGGACCUCGCGCUCCCUCGAGGCCGGCGGAGGGGUGUGGCAGGAGGAACGGCAUCGACGGGGCGACGUCCGCCGGCGCAGUAGGGCGGCGUGGCCGGCCAGAGCUGCGUCGGCCACGGGAGGAGGCGAAGCCCCCGGGAGGGGCUGCUGCCUCUCUAUGAACACGUCGGCGCUUGCCGACUUCCCCCGAGCGCCACCUCGCCCUCUUCUGCGGCCGGCGGGGCGACGCUGCCUUGUCGUGAUGUUGUGGUCGGUAUGGAUGAACCGUUAGUUCACUGUACCUCCGGCUUUUGUCGCUCCACCGACGAGACCAGCUCUUCUAGUGGCCGGAGGUGCGGCGGUAGAGGUUCGAGCGCAGAGAUUCGGGCAGGGGGCUUCAGCUGCGCGAGAAGUGCCUCGACCAGCGCCGCACGCAGGGCAGCUCGGGCCACCUGCACUGGUUCGAGCCGGGCCUCCGCGUCCUCUACGCCGUCCUGGAGUAGGCGGAGACGAGCCGGCGGCUCCCCGACGAGCUCCGCGUGAUGAGGUUGUACGAGUGGCGGAACCUGUUGGGCGAGCUGGUGGAGCCGGCGAAGGGAAUGAAGCUGUUGAUGUAGUUGGACUCGUUCGAGCUCGUGCUAGAAGAACGGCCAGUGCACCGCCGGGGCCGGGCGCACCGCAAGUAGCCCAGCCCCGGCGACGGCAAGUCGAGGGAGAAGGAGCGCUACAUGGUGGACGGCCUGUGGGCCAAGCUGUUGAUGCUGGCCACGUCGCACCGGUUACCGGCACGCUACUUCGACCAGCCGCGCCGCCUGCUCCCGCACGCACGCGCGUACCGCAAGGUGUGCCGGCUUCAGCGCCUGGAGUGCCGACUCGAGCCGCGCAUACUACACCAGAAGGACCGCCGCGAGCACCCUUACUGCAGGCUCCUCUUCCGGUUGUGGUAGCGCGUGAACCCCUUCGUGUACCGUCUACCGCGCCACGAGCAGCGCGCUUCGCGGGUGCCACGCGCUCGCAAGGACAUAGGACAUCACCUCGACCUGCUAUAGCCCGCACCGCCCAAGGUUCACGACCGACACGUGGUAGGACGCCCGCUACUCCACAAGUUGAGUAAAUAACAACGCGCCUUCGUCCUCGUAUAAAGAUGGCACCCGUGAUAUCCCACGAGUACCGUCGUGCUUACAUAUACCUGAUGUUAACUCCCACACCGUCUGCCUCUCUACAGUAAGUUCAUUCUGCCCCUACAGUUGAACGACGACUCACUAACCGUAGAAUUCUUGUUAAUGUUGGUCUACCAACCGGAGCACCUUGUACUCUACAUAGUCGCUCGGUGUCCGCUAAACAGCGCCAAAACACCAGAAAAACCUUAUAAACCGCGUUUUCUUCUCGUAUUAGACUCGACUGCCUUCGUACAGGACGUCGUGGGUCUCCUACCUACCCGUGUAUAAGCGAAGGGGAGCUCGGCGCACUAUAGAGUACACCGAGACGGCGCAGCGCUCGUGCCGGCACUACUCGCAGUGGAGAGAGCAUCGUCGGCUUAAGCUCAUCCUACUCUAGGGACAACUACUAAGGAACUGACUUUAAAGAAGUAGAUCGGUAACCUGCUUCUGUUCGUUCUGCCGACACGCAAAGAGAUGUACCGACCCGAUCAGGUCCGCUUAGAGCACGGUUCGUACGGCACAGUCACGUAAAACGAAAAUGGAGUCAACGAACGUUCUGUGACUAACGACAAUUUACUUUAGCCUCUCCCUCGAGAGAAAAUAUUUUUUUUUAUUUUUUAGAGUCAACGAACACAG